AUGCAGAGCAAAUCCCCAAAAAUUGUCUCAGUUCAGAUUGCAGGCUGAAACUCGCCUGCAUGAAGUCGGAAUUGCUAGUAAUCGCAGAUCAGCAUGCUGCGGUGAAUACGUUCCCGGGCCUUGUACACACCGCCCGUCACACCAUGGGAGUCGGUAACACCCGAAGUCGGUAGCCUAACCGUAAGGAGGGCGCCGCCGAAGGUGGGAUUGAUGACUGGGGUGAAGUCGUAACAAGGUACC
This 240-nucleotide ribosomal RNA is filed under the name uncultured bacterium. RNAcentral describes it as "partial 16S ribosomal RNA". It matches the Rfam family "Bacterial small subunit ribosomal RNA", at positions 1260 to 1500 of the family's 1533-position model. The record is from RNAcentral.